GGACGCCUCUGAGUUGCCGUAGUUGUAGUUUGUUGGUUCAGAACAGAAUCAGACACUGCUGAAAUAUAAGUGGAAUAAACAGCUAGCGACAUAAUCAUAUCAUGAGUCGAUCGUACAAUGACGAGUUACAAUAUUUGGACAAGAUUGACAAGAACUGCUGGCGAAUCAAGAAAGGUUUCGUCCCAAAUAUGCAGGUGGAAGGAGUGUUUUACGUCAACGAGUCCCUGGAGAAGCUGAUGUUUGAGGAGCUGCGUAACGCGUGUAAAGGAGGAGGUUUUGGUGGGUUUCUCCCCGCCAUGAAACAGAUUGGAAACGUUGCAGCUCUGCCGGGUAUAGUCCAUAAGUCCAUCGGCCUGCCAGACUGCCACUCGGGGUAUGGGUUCGCCAUCGGAAACAUGGCUGCCUUUGACAUGAGCGACCCCAACGCUGUCGUAUCCCCAGGUGGUGUGGGGUUUGAUAUUAACUGUGGAGUGCGUCUACUAAGGACCAACCUAGACGAGGGAGACGUCCAGCCUGUCAAGGAGCAGCUGGCUCAGGCCCUGUUUGACCACAUCCCUGUAGGAGUCGGCUCCAAGGGAGUCAUCCCUAUGACCGCCAAGGAUCUAGAGGAGGCUCUAGAGAUGGGAGUGGACUGGUCCCUCAGAGAAGGCUAUGCCUGGGCAGAGGAUAAGGAGCACUGUGAGGAGUAUGGCAGGAUGCUGCAGGCCGACCCCAACAAGGUCUCCUCCAAGGCCAAGAAGAGAGGCCUUCCUCAGCUGGGUACUCUGGGGGCAGGGAACCACUACGCUGAGAUCCAGGUGGUGGAUGAGAUCUAUAAUGACUAUGCUGCUAAGAAGAUGGGCAUCGACCACAAGGGCCAGGUGUGUGUGAUGAUCCACAGUGGCAGCAGGGGCUGGGCCACCAGGUGGCGACAGAUGCCCUGGUUGCCAUGGAGAAGGCGAUGAAGCGAGACAAGAUCCAGGUGAACGAUCGUCAGCUGGCGUGCGCCCGGAUCUUUUCAGAGGAGGGACAAGACUACCUGAAAGGAAUGGUCUGAGUACUAUGCUUAGGUAAAUGUGAUGACCUUCCUCACACGACAGGCGUUUGCCAAGGUGUUCACCACCACUCCUGAUGACCUGGACAUGCAUGUGAUCUAUGACGUGUCUACCAUAACAUCGCCAAGGUGGAGGAACACAUGGUAGAUGGGAAACAGAAGACUCUGCUGCUGCAUCCCAAGGGAUCCACCGGGCCUUCCCUCCACACCACCCCUCAUCCCUGUACCCCCUCAUCCCUGUAGACUACCAGCUGACAGGCCAGCCGGUGUUGAUCGGGGCACGAUGGGCACCUGCAGUUACGUCCUGACGGGCACGGAACAGGGCAUGACGGAGACCUUCGGCACCACCUGCCACGGCGCGGGUCGGGCUCUGUCUCGGGCCAAAUCCCGCAGGAACAUCGACUUCCAGGACGUGUUGGACAAGCUGGCAGACAAGGGUAUCGCCAUCAGGGUGGCUUCGCCCAAACUAGUCAUGGAAGAGGCUCCGGAGUCGUACAAAAACGUGUGUGAUGUCGUCAACACGUGUCACGAUGCUGGAAUCAGCAAGAAAGCCAUCAAACUACGACCCAUCGCCGUGAUCAAGGGAUAAGGCUGCACCACUCUGCUAGUGACGGCAUUGGCCAUGGCACUCCCUCCAGGAGCCAAUCACCAGGCAGAGAGCUGAGCUGGCGGAGGAGCCAAUGGGGAAGUGUCUGACUGCGAGUGAGCAUGUCCGUCUUCAUAGACUGACUUGACAAGGGAUCGGUUUCCUCCGCUCCACUUCCUGUUUAUGACCAGUGUGAUUAUUUUGACAUGGGGGGUGAUUUGUUCGUUGAGUGAUCAAUUUAAUUGGACCGGAUGAGCUCUUUAAUAUUGUCAAGUCUGAGAGGGUGAAGUGUCUUGGGUUUACCUUUCAUUCAUUGCAAAAUCACUGUGGAAUAUAACUUUGAGAUUCAGGUUAACCACAGAUAAUAAAAUACAAGACGACAGA
RNA transcript from Oncorhynchus gorbuscha (pink salmon), 2003 nucleotides. It is a transcript of the gene named RNA-splicing ligase RtcB homolog, with no coding region annotated. The transcript has 13 exons. The record is from RefSeq and is a predicted model, not a curated record. Lineage: Eukaryota; Metazoa; Chordata; Actinopteri; Salmoniformes; Salmonidae.